UACGGAGGGUGCAACCGUUGCUCGGAAUCAUUGGGCGUAAAGCGCGCGUAGGCGGCGAGGCAAGUUGGAUGUGAAAGCCCUGGGCUCAACCUAGGAUGUGCAUACAAAACUGCCUCGCUUGAAUCUCGGAGGGGGCCAGGGAAUUCCCGGUGUAGAGGUGAAAUUCGUAGAUAUCGGGAGGAACACCAGUGGCGAAGGCGCUGACCUGGACGAUGAUUGACGCUGAGGCGCGAAAGCGUGGGGAGCAAACAGG
Molecule: ribosomal RNA, 253 nt
Filed under: uncultured bacterium
Lineage: Bacteria
Description: partial 16S ribosomal RNA
Rfam family: Bacterial small subunit ribosomal RNA
Source: RNAcentral